RNAcentral lists this ribosomal RNA (416 nucleotides) under uncultured bacterium. RNAcentral describes it as "bacterial SSU rRNA". It matches the Rfam family "Bacterial small subunit ribosomal RNA", at positions 30 to 435 of the family's 1533-position model. The record is from RNAcentral.
AGUGAACGCUGGCGGCAGGCCUAACACAUGCAAGUCGAGCGGCAGCGCGUCCGACCACCCUCGGGUGGUCGGAUGGCGGCGAGCGGCGGACGGGUGAGGAAUGCAUCGGAAUCUGCCUCGUUGUGGGGGAUAACGUAGGGAAACUUACGCUAAUACCGCAUACGACCUACGGGUGAAAGUGGGGGACCUUCGGGCCUCACGCGAUGAGAUGAGCCGAUGCCGGAUUAGCUAGUUGGCGGGGUAAAGGCUCACCAAGGCGACGAUCCGUAGCUGGUCUGAGAGGAUGAUCAGCCACACUGGAACUGAGACACGGUCCAGACUCCUACGGGAGGCAGCAGUGGGGAAUAUUGGACAAUGGGGGCAACCCUGAUCCAGCCAUGCCGCGUGUGUGAAGAAGGCCUCGGUUGUAAGNACUU